RNAcentral lists this long non-coding RNA (223 nucleotides) under Panax ginseng (ginseng). RNAcentral describes it as "long non-coding RNA (PGIN_LNC013799)". Lineage: Eukaryota; Viridiplantae; Streptophyta; Magnoliopsida; Apiales; Araliaceae. The record is from RNAcentral.
UUGGAUUACCUGGUGGUUAAAAUACAGUAAUACGCGUUGUUGCACAGUAGCACACGGUAUUGCACAGUAUUCUGAAUUAUUGAUCCUUACGUAAGAAGGCACUACUCAAUAAUUGUUACAGUAGUUACUGUUCAAUAUUUUAUUUUAUUGGUUCAAUAAUUGUUGCGUCGAUAUUUUAUAUUAUUGUUGUUCAAUAAUUAUUACUACACAGUAUUUUCCAUUA